RNAcentral lists this ribosomal RNA (253 nucleotides) under uncultured bacterium. RNAcentral's name for it is "partial 16S ribosomal RNA". It matches the Rfam family "Bacterial small subunit ribosomal RNA", at positions 524 to 776 of the family's 1533-position model. The record is from RNAcentral.
UACGGGGGGGGCAAGCGUUGUUCGGAAUUACUGGGCGUAAAGGGCGCGUAGGCGGCCUACUAAGUCGGACGUGAAAUCCCUCGGCUCAACCGGGGAACUGCGUCCGAUACUGGCGGGCUUGAGUGUGGCAGAGGGGGGUGGAAUUCCGCGUGUAGCAGUGAAAUGCGUAGAGAUGCGGAGGAACACCGAUGGCGAAGGCAGCCCCCUGGGCCAACACUGACGCUCAGGCACGAAAGCGUGGGGAGCAAACAGG